Molecule: non-coding RNA, 285 nt
Organism: Vicia faba (fava bean)
Lineage: Eukaryota; Viridiplantae; Streptophyta; Magnoliopsida; Fabales; Fabaceae
Source: the annotation of a GenBank genome assembly
AUGACGAAGCAUAUUGAUGCGCAGUUUCACAAGAUGAAAAAGUUACUUGCAUUUAGACACACAUUACUUGAAAAAGUUCAUACUUUAGAGAAUGCAACUGAAAUGUUGAUCAACUUUGUAAACCGCAUCAACCUCAACAAGAAGCUUCCAUCUUCUAUCUAUGAACCAAGCAAGGUAAAGCCUCUCUGUCUUCUACAGGAUACUUUUGAAUGCUAUAGCCAUGCUCAAUACAACACCUCUGUUGCAAGACAAAAUUUCAAUCCUCAGCAGAUCCUUAAAAUUUAG